UGUCAUGCCUGCGAGGUGGGGCCAAGACAGGAGCCCUUAAGACCCGAGAUCUGAAUGUGCUGGCUCUCUUGGUUCCUGGAUCCUGGAUGCUGGAUGUAGACCGAGCAGAAUUCUCCAGAGAACACCGCUGGACUGCAUUUCACCUCUCUAGGACCCUGUAACCUAUCCCUUUACUUAGCCAGCUUGAAUAACACCUGUACAAGUCAGAUCCACUUCAGAUAAGUAUCAUUCUAAUUUUCCUGGUCCUGGGUCCCCCUUUCCUCACGCUGAGACCCCUUCGGGACCUCCCCAAGGUAAAAUUUUUCUAAACUUCCUCUUCUGCCUUGCUAGCACCUUGUCAGAUCCAAACAGUCAUAUCCAAGCAGCGAUGGACAAUUCAACAGAGCCUGAAGCAGCAGAAGAUGAUGGAGAAUUCCCAAAGCAGUGGAAUACAAUCUACUACCUCAGGACAUCUGGCUACCUCAAGAGCCCCCUUCCCUACCCCCAAAAGUUAACCAAUGCCCACUGAGUCAGCUGGAAGCAGUUUUGGGAGACACAGCACCCCCAUUCCUGUUCACUCACCAAUUUUUAUAAAAGAGUCUGGAAUGUUAGAAUUCCUAGCCACUCCCCCAGCUACAUGACUGCACAUGUGCUGUCCAGUAGCCAGGCAAGAUUAGUCAUCCCAAGGCCUUACAUCCUACAUAAUCCAUGUGCUGCAUGAUCAUGUAAUUUGCUCACAACAUGAUCAUGUAAUCUAUGAGCAUGUGUGUCAUAGCUAUGUAAGCCUAUAAGUGUAUGUGCAGGAGGGAGCUAUAAAAGCAGGUUCCACCUAUUGCUUCUCUCUCUUCCUGCAUGGUCAUUCCAUAAGCCUAUGCGCACCCUCUCUCUAUUCCCUUAAUAAACUCUUAUAGUGGGUU
Long non-coding RNA from Peromyscus californicus insignis, 896 nucleotides. RefSeq lists it as uncharacterized. The transcript is spliced from 2 exons. NCBI's taxonomy places the organism in Eukaryota, Metazoa, Chordata, Mammalia, Rodentia, Cricetidae. The record is from RefSeq and is a predicted model, not a curated record.